This is a long non-coding RNA of Cercocebus atys (sooty mangabey), 434 nucleotides long. RefSeq lists it as uncharacterized. The record is from RefSeq and is a predicted model, not a curated record. The transcript has 2 exons. Lineage: Eukaryota; Metazoa; Chordata; Mammalia; Primates; Cercopithecidae.
GCCUGGGCUUGAUGUUCACCGAUUUUCCCUCAGCUCCGACUGUGGCUCCUCUCGGCAGACUCUGAUCCUGCUCUCAGCCGGGCUGCAUCUGCCCAUCUCAGCACAUCGAUAAGCAACAGAGGCAAACUACCACCUUGGAGGGAGCCAGGCAGUGUCUGCUGGGCAGGCCGCAGCCAGGAGCAUGGAAGUCGCUUCUUCCAUCCUCCACUGGAAACCACCCAGCAUCCUGGGCCCUCCAGAGAGGAGCCAGACUCCCUCUGGGAAGAGACUGCAGUCCUAUCUGUAUCCUCCGUGGUCACUGCGCCUCAGUCACAGCAAUGAAGAGCAAAUUACCUGUUUUCUGUAUGUUCCUCCGACAACAACUGACACAGAGUAAAUAUGAAAGGUUCUGGAUGAUUCGUGGUCAGCUUUUAUUAAAAUUCCACAUACUUGGC